RNAcentral lists this ribosomal RNA (301 nucleotides) under uncultured bacterium. RNAcentral describes it as "bacterial SSU rRNA". It matches the Rfam family "Bacterial small subunit ribosomal RNA", at positions 505 to 805 of the family's 1533-position model. The record is from RNAcentral.
GUGUCAGCCGCCGCGGUAAUACGGGGGGUGCAAGCGUUGUUCGGAAUUAUUGGGCGUAAAGAGCGUGUAGGCGGCUGAAUAAGUCAGAUGUGAGAUCCCUGGGCUUAACCCAGGAAGUGCAUUUGAAACUAUUCAGCUUGAGUAGGGGAGAGGAAAGUGGAAUUCCUGGUGUAGAGGUGAGAUUCGUAGAUAUCAGGAGGAACACCGGUGGCGAAGGCGACUUUCUGGCCCUAUACUGACGCUGAGACGCGAGAGCGUGGGGAGCAAAUAGGAUUAGAUACCCUAGUAGUCCACGCCGUAA